GAUGAACGCUGGCGGCGUGCCUAAUACAUGCAAGUCGAGCGACCAGACGAGGAGCUUGCUCCUCUGCCGUUAGCGGCGGACGGGUGAGUAACACGUGGAUAACCUACCUAUAAGACUGGGAUAACUUCGGGAAACCGGAGCUAAUACCGGAUAAUAUAUUGAACUGCAUGGUUCAAUAGUGAAAGACGGUUUUGCUGUCACUUAUAGAUGGAUCCGCGCCGCAUUAGAUAGUUGGUAAGGUAACGCCUUACCAAGGCAACGAUGCGUAGCCGACCUGAGAGGGUGAUCAGCCACACUGGAACUGAGACACGGUCCAGACUCCAACGGGAGGCAGCAGUGGGGAAUCUUCUGUUAGGGGCGAAAGCCUGACGGAGCAACGCCGCGUGAGUGAUGAAGGGCUUCGGAUCGUAAAGCUCUGUUACUAGGGAAGAACAAAAGUGUGAGUAACUAGUCACGUCUUGACGGUACCUAAUCAGAAAGCCACGGCUAACUACGUG
This 497-nucleotide ribosomal RNA is filed under the name uncultured bacterium. Its description in RNAcentral is "partial 16S ribosomal RNA". It matches the Rfam family "Bacterial small subunit ribosomal RNA", at positions 28 to 507 of the family's 1533-position model. The record is from RNAcentral.